RNAcentral lists this transfer RNA (74 nucleotides) under Corallococcus sp. AB045. RNAcentral's name for it is "tRNA-His". It matches the Rfam family "tRNA". From Rfam's summary of the family: Transfer RNA (tRNA) molecules are approximately 80 nucleotides in length. RNAcentral also lists the same sequence under 1 other name. Lineage: Bacteria; Pseudomonadati; Myxococcota; Myxococcia; Myxococcales; Myxococcaceae. The record is from RNAcentral.
GCGAAUGUAGCUCAAUUGGUUAGAGCGCCGGACUGUGACUCCGGAGGUUGCCGGUUCGAUCCCGGUCAUUCGCC